GACGAACGCUGGCGGCGUGCUUAACACAUGCAAGUCGAACGGAAAGGCCCUGCUUUUGUGGGGUGCUCGAGUGGCGAACGGGUGAGUAACACGUGAGUAACCUGCCCUUGACUUUGGGAUAACUUCAGGAAACUGGGGCUAAUACCGGAUAGGAGCUCCUGCUGCAUGGUGGGGGUUGGAAAGUUUCGGCGGUUGGGGAUGGACUCGCGGCUUAUCAGCUUGUUGGUGGGGUAGUGGCUUACCAAGGCUUUGACGGGUAGCCGGCCUGAGAGGGUGACCGGCCACAUUGGGACUGAGAUACGGCCCAGACUCCUACGGGAGGCAGCAGUGGGGAAUAUCGCACAAUGGGCGGAAGCCUGAUGCAGCAACGCCGCGUGCGGGAUGACGGCCUUCGGGUGGUAAACCGCUUUCGCCUGUGACGAAGCGUGAGUGACGGUAAUGGGUAAAGAAGCACCGGCUAACUACGU
Molecule: ribosomal RNA, 467 nt
Filed under: uncultured bacterium
Lineage: Bacteria
Description: partial 16S ribosomal RNA
Rfam family: Bacterial small subunit ribosomal RNA
Source: RNAcentral